Molecule: unclassified non-coding RNA, 87 nt
Filed under: Pseudomonas psychrophila
Lineage: Bacteria; Pseudomonadati; Pseudomonadota; Gammaproteobacteria; Pseudomonadales; Pseudomonadaceae
Source: RNAcentral
UGUGGGAGCGGGCUUGCUCGCGAUCAAGGCGCCGCGGUAUUGAAGUUGAACCGCGUCGAUCCAAUCGCGAGCAAGCCCGCUCCCACA